CUUUCUUUGCUGGCGACCGGCGCACGGGUGAGUAACACGUAUCCAACCUGCCGAUGACUCGGGGAUAGCCUUUCGAAAGAAAGAUUAAUACCCGAUGGCAUAGUUCUUCCGCAUGGUAGAACUAUUAAAGGAUUUCGGUCAUCGAUGGGGAUGCGUUCCAUUAGGUUGUUGGCGGGGUAACGGCCCACCAAGCCUUCGAUGGAUAGGGGUUCUGAGAGGAAGGUCCCCCACAUUGGAACUGAGACACGGUCCAAACUCCUACGGGAGGCAGCAUG
This 275-nucleotide ribosomal RNA is filed under the name uncultured bacterium. Its description in RNAcentral is "partial 16S ribosomal RNA". It matches the Rfam family "Bacterial small subunit ribosomal RNA", at positions 79 to 353 of the family's 1533-position model. The record is from RNAcentral.